GUGACCCCAGGUCAGGCGGAUACCC
This 25-nucleotide ribosomal RNA is filed under the name Hypericum yezoense. RNAcentral's name for it is "partial 26S ribosomal RNA". The record is from RNAcentral. Lineage: Eukaryota; Viridiplantae; Streptophyta; Magnoliopsida; Malpighiales; Hypericaceae.